This 253-nucleotide ribosomal RNA is filed under the name uncultured bacterium. Its description in RNAcentral is "partial 16S ribosomal RNA". It matches the Rfam family "Bacterial small subunit ribosomal RNA", at positions 524 to 776 of the family's 1533-position model. The record is from RNAcentral.
UACGGAGGUGGCGAGCGUUGUCCGAAGUUACUGGGCGUAAAGCGCGCGUAGGCGGGGGAUUAAGUGAGAAGUGAAAGGCUGGAGCUCAACUCCAGAACUGCCUUUGAUACUGAAGAUCUUGAGUUCGGGAGAGGUGAGUGGAACUGCGAGUGUAGAGGUGAAAUUCGUAGAUAUUCGCAAGAACACCAGUGGCGAAGGCGGCUCACUGGCCCGAUACUGACGCUGAGGCACGAAAGCGUGGGGAGCAAACAGG